UCAAAUCUGUAGUGGUAUGCAUCUACAACGAAGCAUGAAUUCAACACCUUAACAUCGGACAUUUAGGUGGAAAUUGAAAUACACAAGCAGAAUCAGCAGGAAGGUCAACUUCUGCAGUUGCUCUUUAGAGAAUCCUGCACACAUUUGGCUCAUCAUACCACACAACCACAGAAUUGCAAGUGCUGCAACAUGCAGGCAAAGGUUUGCUUUCCUCCUGCUUAUCCUCCUCCUCCUCCUUGUCGGGUUCACGACCGCCACCGGCCUCUUCGCCUUCCUCAGGGCCUUCACGACGAGCACCACAUUGACGUCCCCCACCACCGUCACCGUGCUCUUCUCC
This 337-nucleotide long non-coding RNA is filed under the name Musa acuminata (dwarf banana). Its description in RNAcentral is "long non-coding RNA (MACU_LNC007099)". The record is from RNAcentral. Lineage: Eukaryota; Viridiplantae; Streptophyta; Magnoliopsida; Zingiberales; Musaceae.